RNAcentral lists this long non-coding RNA (631 nucleotides) under Capra hircus (goat). Its description in RNAcentral is "lncRNA (ENSCHIG00010012653.1)". Lineage: Eukaryota; Metazoa; Chordata; Mammalia; Artiodactyla; Bovidae. The record is from RNAcentral.
GACAAGAUGGCUCCUCGCUCUCGGAUUUUCUGCACCGCCUGGGGCCAAGUUAUACCUCUUCUCCCCUCUCGGAAUUGCUGCCAAGAAUCUUGAGAUACAGAUACAGUCCCCACAUCCCAGAGACAAGCUUCCUCCAAAGGCCAGGCCAAUCCUAUGGAGUCAUAUGUCCCCUGAGAGAUAGAAAAAUGUCGCUAGAUUCGCGCCGAAAGUAGGUUAGAGAAGCAAGAACUUCUGGGAAAUGUAGUCUAGAACCAGAAUGGGUGCGGCGCCCGCCUAAGUAGAAGAUUGUCUUGGUUGUUUUUUUGCACAGAGUUUGCUGCGGUGGAGGACAGAGUGGCGCCCAAGACUCUUCUAGGAGUUGUAGCUUACUCUGAGGAUAUUUCAGAUUGACUAAAGCAACAUUUUUGCCUUCCUCUGUGGAUUAACGUGGUGUGUGAUCUGUGCUAGUCUGGGAGCGGAAACCUAGGAGUCUCGGAUACGAACCCUCAGCAGGAAAGUAAAGGAGAGCAAUCAGCGACUCCGGAAUGGAGCGGAUGAACACGGAUUAUCAGGCCCGUCCAGCAGUUUGUUUGUUGUGCAUGCCCCAGUUCAGUUCAGUUCAGUCACUCAGUCAUGUCCGACUCUUUGCAAC